AGAGUUUGAUCAUGGCUCAGGACAAACGCUGGCGGCAGGCCUCAAACAUGCAAGUCUAGGGGGUGCAGCAAUGCAUCACCGGCGGACGGGUGCGUAACGCGUGGGAAUGUACCUAUUGGUUCGGGACAACUGAGGGAAACUUCAGCUAAUACCGAAUGUGCCCUUACGGGGAAAGAUUUAUCGCCAAUGGAUCAGCCCGCGUCCGAUUAGCUAGUUGGUGGGGUAACGGCCCACCAAGGCUCCGAUCGGUAGCUGUUCUGAGAGGAAGAUCAGCCACACUGGGACUGAGACACGGCCCAGACUCCUACGGGAGGCAGCAGUGGGGAAUAUUGGACAAUGGGCGCAAGCCUGAUCCAGCCAUGCCGCGUGGAUGAUGAAGGCCUUAGGGUUGUAAAGCUCUUUUGUGCGGGAAGAUAAUGACGGUACCGCAAGAAUAAGCCCCGGCUAACUUCGUGCCAGCAGCCGCGGUAAUCA
Molecule: ribosomal RNA, 474 nt
Filed under: uncultured bacterium
Lineage: Bacteria
Description: bacterial SSU rRNA
Rfam family: Bacterial small subunit ribosomal RNA
Source: RNAcentral